Molecule: long non-coding RNA, 650 nt
Organism: Lagenorhynchus albirostris (white-beaked dolphin)
Lineage: Eukaryota; Metazoa; Chordata; Mammalia; Artiodactyla; Delphinidae
Exons: 2
Source: RefSeq, a predicted model, not a curated record
CUGCUGAAAAUUUCACCACUGUCUGAAAGCUUUGAUAUCGACUUGCUGAGUGGUUUGGAAUGGCUCACUGCAAUCUUAGGACCCCCUAGAUGCCAGCUGCAGAGAUGGUGCCACAGAAAUGAACAAGAUGAGAAGGAGGGUCACCAUCAUCAAACGGCGUUUGGCUUGCUGGUCUGUUUGUGCUCAGAGCAGCACUGAAGAUAUCUAUUCUUUUGGUCAACCUGUGUUUCAAACUGCAUCCUGAAAGAUGUGGAUGUAGUGUAACAAAACCUUGUUAAUUUGAAUUAAUUGGUGGGAACGACAGUCUAAAUAAGAAAAUUUGAACCCAAUCAGAGAUCUAAAAGAAACACAUUUUUGUUAUUUACAAGAAACUUGCACCAGAGAAAACUGGAGGGCUCAAGAAAGGUCUCUGGUCCUUGGGUAGCAUAAGACUGAAGUGUCCUUUUACAGAGAAACCACGGAGACCAGAGAGAUCAAGUGAUUUUCCCCAAACUCCCACAGCUGGAAGAUGGUCAGAGAAAUGCCAGAAUCCAGUCUUUCCAGAACAGGGCUGUCUGCUCCCAUCCGUGCUGUAUUUAGACUUAACAAAGUGUUGCCCUUUUCAUGUAACUUUUCAUGAAUGGAUUAAAAAAUUAUGAUAUUUAUUUGUA